RNAcentral lists this ribosomal RNA (483 nucleotides) under uncultured bacterium. Its description in RNAcentral is "partial 16S ribosomal RNA". It matches the Rfam family "Bacterial small subunit ribosomal RNA", at positions 28 to 523 of the family's 1533-position model. The record is from RNAcentral.
GAUGAACGCUGGCGGCGUGCUUAACACAUGCAAGUCGAACGAUGAUGCCCAGCUUGCUGGGUGGAUUAGUGGCGAACGGGUGAGUAACACGUGAGUAACCUGCCCCUGACUCUGGGAUAAGCGUUGGAAACGACGUCUAAUACUGGAUAUGACUGCCGGCCGCAUGGUCUGGUGGUGGAAAGAUUUUUUGGUUGGGGAUGGACUCGCGGCCUAUCAGCUUGUUGGUGAGGUAAUGGCUCACCAAGGCGACGACGGGUAGCCGGCCUGAGAGGGUGACCGGGCACACUGGGGCUGAGACACGGCCCAGACUGCUGCGGGAGGCAGCAGUGGGGAAUAUUGCACAAUGGGCGAAAGCCUGAUGCAGCAACGCCGCGUGAGGGAUGACGGCCUUCGGGUUGUAAACCUCUUUUAGUAGGGAAGAAGCGAAAGUGACGGUACCUGCAGAAAAAGCACCGGCUAACUACGUGCCAGCCGCCGCCGUAA